This is a non-coding RNA of Acanthosepion pharaonis, 99 nucleotides long. NCBI's taxonomy places the organism in Eukaryota, Metazoa, Mollusca, Cephalopoda, Sepiida, Sepiidae. The record is from the annotation of a GenBank genome assembly.
ACUGAAACAUCAGUUACCGUAUGAUCACCAAAGUUAAGCAACAUCAAGCCUGGUAAGUACCUAGAGAGGUGACCACAUGGGAAUACCAGGUGUUGUAAG